GAUGAACGCUGGCGGCGUGCCUAAUACAUGCAAGUCGAGCGAACGGACGAGAAGCUUGCUUCUCUGAUGUUAGCGGCGGACGGGUGAGUAACACGUGGAUAACCUACCUAUAAGACUGGGAUAACUUCGGGAAACCGGAGCUAAUACCGGAUGAUAUUUUGAACCGCAUGGUUCAAAAGUGAAAGACGGUCUUGCUGUCACUUAUAGAUGGAUCCGGGCUGCAUUAGCUAGUUGGUAAGGUAACGGCUUACCAAGGCAACGAUGCAUAGCCGACCUGAGAGGGUGAUCGGCCACACUGAAACUGAGACACGGUCCAGACUCCUACGGAAGGCAGAAGUAGGGAAUCUUCCGCAAUGGGCGAAAGCCUGACGGAGCAACGCCGCGUGAGUGAUGAAGGUCUUCGGAUCGUAAAACUCUGUUAUUAGGGAAGAACAUAUGUGUAAGUAACUGUGCACAUCUGGACGGUACAUAAUCAGAAGGCCACGGCUAACUACGG
This 496-nucleotide ribosomal RNA is filed under the name uncultured bacterium. Its description in RNAcentral is "partial 16S ribosomal RNA". It matches the Rfam family "Bacterial small subunit ribosomal RNA", at positions 28 to 506 of the family's 1533-position model. The record is from RNAcentral.